ACUGAGGAAGACGACAGCGAGAUAUCAGACAUUUAUUAAAGACAGUGAACUCAUGAUGCCGACGAUUCACUGUGACUCUGCAACCGACGUGCACCUGAUGGAUGAACUGACUUCACAUCAGCCAUUCAUGAUGACCGGGUGCUUCAUGUCCAUUAUGUAACCACGGGUGGAGAAAAGGUUUAAAACUAACACCCAACAUGGCAGUUAACAUAGAAACCUACUUAAAUAAGUGAAGAAUAUCAUCAGGCAUUGGAUGCUCCUCACCAUUUCCAGGCAACAAGGCUUAUUGGGUCCAAGUCACGCUCUGCAGCAAUCCAAGCCUGUGGCUCAGCCAGCAUGCAUUACAGUCAGUCCCUCUGUCUGUCCGUCCCUCUCUCUCUCUCUCUCUCUCUCUCUCUACACACCAAUACAAACACAGCCUAGUGGAGGUUGGCACAGUCCGCCACAUUUUCUGGAGGGCGACCAAAGUGAGUCCAGGAAGGGCUGAGUGCGGCCAGUGAACCCGUAUGCCUCUAUUCAGUAAAUCGCAUUACAUAAUUAAACGCUUUAAACUUUUCCAUAGAUUCAGCACUUUUUGACCAGCCUUUGAGGAGCUCAAUAUUUAAUGACCUGAAAUAUGAAAACUGAAGUUGCUCGUCUUAAGCUUAAUCUCCUGUUUAACGGGUUUCAUUAUAUUAUUGUCAUAGAGUGCUAAAGUGUGUCGUCACGUUUCCAUAGCAACCGAUUUUCGGUUCUACACAAACCAAAUUAACAAGAGGAAAUCCUAUGCCGCACGAAUGUUUUAUACAAAAGGAACGUUUUUUUUGCGAAUUGAUUUGCGAGUUUGCUUUACCAAUGAUAACCCGUAUUGGAGCGAUUCUGCUGCUGCCAUUUUCCCCAUGUUAUCAGCCAUCAGAGAGACAUCCAAUCAGGGAGACAUCUCAUCAGAGAGGGAGACAUCUCAUCAGAGAGGGAGACAUCUCAUCAGAGAGGGAGUCAUCUCAUCAGAGAGGGAGACAUCUCAUCACAGAGACAUUCUCAGAUUCCGGAGACAGCCACAUGGAAAGUAACCACACUGAUUACUCAUCAUAAUAUAGUCAAUGUUUUUUCUUCAGAUAUAAACUUCUAUAAAAUAGUUUUUGAAUCGUCACUUGAUAAAUGAAAUGAAAAUCAAUAAAUGUUCUGAUGCAUUGUU
Long non-coding RNA from Gadus morhua (Atlantic cod), 1174 nucleotides. RefSeq lists it as uncharacterized. Lineage: Eukaryota; Metazoa; Chordata; Actinopteri; Gadiformes; Gadidae. The record is from RefSeq and is a predicted model, not a curated record. The transcript is spliced from 2 exons.